This 490-nucleotide ribosomal RNA is filed under the name uncultured bacterium. RNAcentral's name for it is "partial 16S ribosomal RNA". It matches the Rfam family "Bacterial small subunit ribosomal RNA", at positions 29 to 505 of the family's 1533-position model. The record is from RNAcentral.
AGUGAACGCUGGCGGUAGGCCUAACACAUGCAAGUCGAACGGCGGCACAGUAAGAGCUUGCUCUUACGGGUGGCGAGUGGCGGACGGGUGAGGAAUACAUCGGAAUCUACUUUUUCGUGGGGGAUAACGUAGGGAAACUUACGCUAAUAUCGCAUACGACCUACGGGUGAAAGCAGGGGAUCUUCGGACCUUGCGCGAUUGAAUGAGCCGAUGUCGGAUUAGCUAGUUGGCGGGGUAAAGGCCCACCAAGGCGACGAUCCGUAGCUGGUCUGAGAGGAUGAUCAGCCACACUGGAACUGAGACACGGUCCAGACUCCUACGGGAGGCAGCAGUGGGGAAUAUUGGACAAUGGGCGCAAGCCUGAUCCAGCCAUACCGCGUGGGUGAAGAAGGCCUUCGGGUUGUAAAGCCCUUUUGUUGGGAAAGAAAAGCAGCAGGUUAAUACCCCGCUGUUCUGACGGUACCCAAAGAAUAAGCACCGGCUAACUUCG